Molecule: long non-coding RNA, 345 nt
Filed under: Brassica napus (rape)
Lineage: Eukaryota; Viridiplantae; Streptophyta; Magnoliopsida; Brassicales; Brassicaceae
Description: long non-coding RNA (BNAP_LNC019695)
Source: RNAcentral
UAAGAACGUGUGCCAACCGCGAGAGGCGGGAUAUAAAAACGUGCAUCAUGGUCGGGUAACGGGGAGUUAAAGGUGUCAUAGGAUCGAGUCGGUCUAGUAUGAGGAGACGGUUCAGUCUAGGGUUUAACGUGUGUGGCAAUGAGUGGGAUCAUUGUAUUGAUUGAUCGCUAGGUUGCUAGAAAUGUAUGGAGUUGAAUGUUUGGAAAUAAUGAUGAUGAUAUGAAAUGAUGAAAAUACAUUACCUGAUUGUAGUGGCUAGUCAGUCCUAGUUCCCGCAUAGAGUAGUAUAGAGUGUCAUGCGGACAGGCUGGUCUAGAGCCACUUCACUGAGUAACUUGUUGCUCA